GACGAACGCUGGCGGCGUGCUUAACACAUGCAAGUCGAACGGAAAGGCCCUGCUUGCGUGGGGUGCUCGAGUGGCGAACGUGUGAGUAACACGUGAGUAACCUGCCCUUGACUUUGGGAUAACUUCAGGAAACUGGGGCUAAUACCGGAGAGGAGCUCCUGCUGCAUGGUGGGGGUUGGAAAGUUUCGGCGGUGGGGGCUGGACGCGCGGCUUAUCAGCUUGUUGGUGGGGGAGUGGCUUACCAAGGCUUUGACGGGUAGCCGGCCUGAGAGGGUGACCGGCCACCUUGGGACUGCGAUACGGACCAGACUCCUACGGGAGGCAGCAGUGGGGAAUCUUGCACAAUGGGCGGGAGCCUGAUGCAGCAACGCCGCGUGCGGGAUGACGGCCUUCGGGUUGUAAACCGCUUUCGCCUGUGACGAAGCGUGAGUGACGGUAAUGGGUAAAGAAGCACCGGCUAACUACGUG
Molecule: ribosomal RNA, 468 nt
Filed under: uncultured bacterium
Lineage: Bacteria
Description: partial 16S ribosomal RNA
Rfam family: Bacterial small subunit ribosomal RNA
Source: RNAcentral